Molecule: ribosomal RNA, 371 nt
Filed under: uncultured organism
Description: bacterial SSU rRNA
Rfam family: Bacterial small subunit ribosomal RNA
Source: RNAcentral
CGUAGGGUGCAAGCGUUAAUCGGAAUUACUGGGCGUAAAGCGUGCGCAGGCGGUUGACUAAGUCAGCGGUGAAAUACCUGGGCUCAACCUGGGAAUGGCCGUUGAGACUGGUCGGCUAGAGUGUGUCAGAGGGGGGUAGAAUUCCACGUGUAGCAGUGAAAUGCGUAGAGAUGUGGAGGAAUACCGAUGGCGAAGGCAGCCCCCUGGGAUAACACUGACGCUCAUGCACGAAAGCGUGGGGAGCAAACAGGAUUAGAUACCCUGGUAGUCCACGCCCUAAACGAUGUCAACUAGUUGUCGGAGCUACUAUGGCUUUGGUAACGCAGCUAACGCGCGAAGUUGACCGCCUGGGGAGUACGGUCGCAAGAUUA